This 253-nucleotide ribosomal RNA is filed under the name uncultured bacterium. RNAcentral's name for it is "partial 16S ribosomal RNA". It matches the Rfam family "Bacterial small subunit ribosomal RNA", at positions 524 to 776 of the family's 1533-position model. The record is from RNAcentral.
UACAGAGGUCCCAAGCGUUGUUCGGAUUCACUGGGCGUAAAGGGUGCGUAGGCGGUCGGGUAAGUCUGAUGUGAAAUCUCCGAGCUUAACUCGGAAAUGGCAUUGGAUACUAUUCGGCUAGAGGGUUUGAGGGGGGACUGGAAUACUUGGUGUAGCAGUGAAAUGCGUAGAUAUCAAGUGGAACACCAGUGGCGAAGGCGAGUCCCUGGAAAACUCCUGACACUGAGGCACGAAAGCUAGGGGAGCAAACAGG